RNAcentral lists this long non-coding RNA (3985 nucleotides) under Equus caballus (horse). Its description in RNAcentral is "lncRNA (ENSECAG00000033816.3)". Lineage: Eukaryota; Metazoa; Chordata; Mammalia; Perissodactyla; Equidae. The record is from RNAcentral.
GGCGUCCGCUAGGGCGCGCUGCGAGACCGGGAAUGCCCGCCCGGCGCCCCGCCGCCCCGGCCGCGCGCACACGCCGUGCCCUCGCCCCCCUCGAAAUCAUAUUUACAGUUCUUUUUUUUCCCCCCUCUCCUGUGACAUUUUCUCCAAAUCGGAAAAUGAAGUGUAAGUCGAGCUUUGCCGCAGGCGGCCCUCGGUCUCCGCUUUCCGGCUCGGGGUCCCGGAGUGAGAUGCGCUGCCCCCGGCAGUGCGAACCCCGGGGGACGGAGUGGGGCCCCCAGCCCAGCACCCCGGGCCCGGCCGCUCCGCCAGCGGAGACCGCGGAGUCCGGCUCUGCGCCGCGCGCGGGUGCGCUCCGGACGCGGCGAGUCGCAGGCCUCGCCGCGGGUUCAAGUGCAUCCCCGCGGCUGGAGCCCGCGGCUCUGAGAGCGAGUUCUGCCCUGCUCAGCCCCCUCUGGGAGUUCUGUGCGCCCGCGGCUCCCGGGCCCCUCUCCCCGACCCCGCAGCGCGCUGGGCCGCCGGCUGGGGGCAGGCACCCGGCUCGCGCUCCUCCUGGCCCGGGCCGGGCCCCCGGCGCGGCGCUGCCCCCGGGCCGAGCAGGAGGCUCCGCCUGGAAAAGAAGUCAGACUUCCUCUCCACGCUGCUCCGACUGGAAUCUGGAAUCGGCAGGAAAUUGCUCCAACACCCGGGCCGCGCCUUUGCAGUCAGCCCUCGCUUUGCUGAAGAGAAGCAGCUCCCACCAAAGUCUUGCCUCCCCCUCCCCCCGAAAGCCCCGCGCAGGUUUGUAAAGAGGGGUGCGAGAUCUGAGAAGUAUUUGUCUUCUCGGGAGAGCGAGGUCGGUGACGGCGCCCAAUGAAAGACGGGUGCUUUUUCGCUAGACAGAGUCCCAGGGCCAGGUCUGGGUUUGCAGCUCCAAAAGGAUGCAGACGCUGCCCACUGAGGAGGCAAUAUUAGGAGUGUAUUAAUUAGAAGUUAGUGAGAUAGGAAAUAAAUGGACAGUGACACAUUUCGUGGCGUCAUUUUUCCUGGAUGGCCAAGGUUUUAAGCUGCAUUUAAGAAUUAGCCACAUUUUGCCAGAGAGUAAAUAUUUUUACGUAAACCCCUUGCUAAAGCCCAGAAGAGGUAAGUUAAGUUGCCACGUAAGAUCCUGCAGUUUCCUAUAGAGACUUGCACAGGUUGUUACUAGGAUGAAAAUGCCUUGUAUUUCUAAUUUUCCAGACGGCAAGAGCAUUUGAUUUUUAUGUGGCAAAGUAAUGUUCAAGGCAAAUGGAGCGCCAAGCCUCUUUAGAUAAGCAAUAUUCACUUGACGCUUCUAGCCUAAAAUAAAUAUAAUUACCUUAGUGGGAAUUAUAGCCCAAUAUUUUAGAUUUUUGUUGUUGUAAGUUAUAUGAAAAAAGUAUUGUUUUUGUUUUUGCUUUUUUUAGAAACCUUGUUUAUUGUCAUUUGCAAAGUAUUGACUUUGAGAUAGCCUGGGCUGGAGCAUCGAAGUUAAAAAAGCAGACAAGUCCGUUUAAAUGUGGUUUGAUCUUUACUCUCCAAGGCUUUAAGAGCUAAUAAAAACAAUUAAAAGGAAUGAAUAGGAAUAAUAAAAUUCCUUUUUUGACUCAGUAUGCCUGCCUCGGGGGAAGGGACCGCUGACAUGUCGGUGACUCGCCUUUGAGCCAUUCCCGGCAGACAGCAACUGUGAAUGUGGUCGGUCAGUGUUGCCUUUGAAAAUGAAGGGCAAGUUUAUGGAAGUACAGAAACAAAUAUUUUAGUACAUAGGAUUUUCUCCAUUGUCCAGACUAAAAGUUUUGUCUUUAAAAUUUUAUGAUAAACGUUUUUUCGUCGAUUUGUGAAGUUCAGAAGGAAACUUUUCUACUUGUAUGAUUUUGUUCUGUGUUCGAGUUUCAGAUCGCAGUUCACCUGUCCUUCAGAAAAAAUAUUUUCAUAACUAUUAAAAACAGCAUCACGACUAGUAUUUUUAACUGUCUUCAGGUAGAUAUAUGAUUGCUGUCAGAGCCUACAAGAAAAGCCUGGAGCCAUGCACUCACCCGGGCGAAGCCAUAAAGAGGUAGUAGCGUGGGAAUCAUCUAGAAAAAACAUCACCUUCACAAAGCAUCCAUCCGAAGGGCACACAAAGCACAUCUCUCAAAGCAAGUGGCACUCUGUCCAGCCAAGCAGCUACCCAUCUGGGACAGUGCUUCCAGUCUCCUGUGCAUCUAGCUGGGGUCAUGUGACGAGUUUUCACCACUGGAAAACGAGCAGAAGGAGCAUUUCUAAGAAGUGAAUGUGCCAUCUCCACUAUCUCUGAGGGCAGGAAAUGAUUCUGAAGACAUAGGGCAAGGCCAAGCCUCAAGUUAGAAACCUGAAUCCUUCAUCCCACAGCUUUCAAGCUCAACAUGCCCAUCCCUCCCCAGACCCAUUAAGUGGCAAAGAAGGGAAAUAUUUCUACUUUCUUCAUGGUCUUCGAAAGGAUGGACACACAGCCCUGAGGGAAAUCGCUGGCCAGAGGAAAGCAGUCCCCUAGAGAUAGCAAUCCAAAUAUCAUCAUAGAGCUGGGCCACAGCCAGCAUCUCCAUCAGCAACUUUGAAGAGUUGUCUGUCUUCCCAGCACAAUAAAACUGGAGACAUGAGCAUCCAGAGCUCCAGCCAGCACAAUUACAUGAAGCCAAAGCGCAUUAUCACUUCUAGGUUGCAGGAUUUAUGACCAGCUCCGAUGGAAAAUAAAGACAGAGAUACUCUACUUGUCUGAAUUCAUCACUCACAAAAGGCAGUAUGUUUUAAUCAUAGAGAAGUUGUCUAUAUUGUACUUUUUCUAACAAAAACCUUCACAAGCAGAGCAGAAACGGAUACCAGCAUCUUAAAGAAAAAAAGAAAAAUGCAAAAGAUUGCCAGUUUGAUUCUGUUCAGAAAAUAUGCCCUUGAUAUCCUUUAUUGUUGAAAAGCUCCUUUCAAAUGCAUUGAGGCAAGUGCUUCUAUUUUGGAGUUUCCCUGGGUUUGGGAAACUGCUUCUAACCUGAGUGGAACAGAGGGGUAGGUUUGUAGGUCUGUAUGGUGUAUCAGUGUCAGCUGAUCCAGGGACUAAGUAAUGAGGCUAAAAUCAUUCUACUUCUAGGAUGCCUGUGACUUCCAUUUGCCAUGAGAGUGUUAAUUCCUGUGGCAGUACGCCUGCCAUGAGCUCCCCCAGAGCCAUGCUCUUCACCAGCACAGCAUUCUCAGGCAUUACUACAGAUGCUCAUUAAUCAUCUCUACUCUAGGAGGUACGCCCUGUGAGCUCAGACUCUUGGUGUUCCUGGCUCAGUGCUAGGACAUGGUGAAUGCAGAAAAUAUUGAAGAGCUCUGAUUAGGUUGUGAUUUUAAGUAAUUAAAAUUCUUGGGCUGGCCCUGUGGCAUAGUGGUUAAGUUCAGCAUGCUCCACUUCAGCAGCCUGGGUUCAGUUCCAGGGUGUGGACUCAAACCACUCAUUGGUGGCCGUGCUGUGGUGGCGACCCACAUACAAAAUAGAAGAAGAUUGGCACAGAUGAUAGCUCUGGGAGAAUCUUCCUCAAGCAAAAAGAGGAAGAUUGGCAACAGGUAAUAGCUCAGGACCAAUCUUCCUCAGCAGAAAAAAAUUAUUUACAAGGACCAUUUGUUUUCACUGUUAGUUCCCUCAUAGACAAAGAAAGGGUAAACCAGUGUGGUUUUUGUCUAAUGUUUUCAAAUUUUGAAUUAUUUAAAUACAUGUUGGUGAAAUUGCUAUUUAACUGUUUAUCAGAACCAAAAUUACAGCCUCAAACCUUCCACAAAAUGGAAAAGACUGUUUGGAAAAGGAAGGAAGGUGCCACAUAAUCCUUUAAACACAAGAUUCAGCCCUUACUUCUACUGAUGCUUGGAAUAGCUCCCAAAACCCUAAAAGUGGGUUUGUUUCCGGAACACCUGGACCAGAGACCACAUUUUUAUGAGAGCACAGUGAGUAAAUUUCUGCCUCUUCUCCCUUUUAAUGUGUUCAACUUGGUUUUAAACAUGC